Molecule: ribosomal RNA, 346 nt
Filed under: uncultured bacterium
Lineage: Bacteria
Description: partial 16S ribosomal RNA
Rfam family: Bacterial small subunit ribosomal RNA
Source: RNAcentral
CCUACGGGUGGCUGCAGUGAGGAAUAUUGGUCAAUGGGCGCGAGCCUGAACCAGCCAAGUAGCGUGAAGGAUGACUGCCCUACGGGUUGUAAACUCCUUUUAUAAAGGAAUAAAGUGAGGCACGUGUGCCGUUUUGUAUGUACUUUAUGAAUAAGGAUCGGCUAACUCCGUGCCAGCAGCCGCGGUAAUACGGAGGAUCCGAGCGUUAUCCGGAUUGAUUGGGUUUAAAGGGAGCGUAGAUGGGUUGUUAAGUCAGUUGUGAAAGUUUGCGGCUCAACCGUAAAAUUGCCAUUGAUACUGGCAGCCUUGCGUCCAGUUGCGGUAGGCGGCAUUCGUGGUGUAGCGG